This 148-nucleotide non-coding RNA is filed under the name Chlorocebus sabaeus (green monkey). The record is from Rfam by way of RNAcentral. Lineage: Eukaryota; Metazoa; Chordata; Mammalia; Primates; Cercopithecidae.
GCUGGGCAUGGUGGUGCGUGCCUGUAAUCCCAGAUACUUGGGAGGCUGAGGCAGGAGAAUCGCUUGAGCCUGGGAUGUGGAGGUUGCAGUGAGCAGAGAUCGCACCACUGCACUCCAGCCUGGGCAACAGAGUGAGACUCCGUCUCAA